GACGAACGCUGGCGGCGUGCCUAACACAUGCAAGUCGAACGAGGUCCAAGGAAGCUUGCUUCCUGAAGACCUAGUGGCGAACGGGUGAGUAACACGUGAGAAACCUGCCUCGGAGUGGGGAAUAACUCGGGGAAACUCGAGCUAAUACCGCAUACCUUCACAUGAUCGCAUGGUCGAGUGAAGAAAGAAUUUCGCUCUGAGAGGGUCUCGCGGCCUAUCAGCUUGUUGGUGGGGUAACGGCCUACCAAGGCAACGACGGGUAGCUGGUUUGAGAGAACGAUCAGCCACACCGGGACUGAGACACGGCCCAGACUCCUACGGGAGGCAGCAGUGGGGAAUCUUGCGCAAUGGGCGAAAGCCUGACGCAGCAACGCCGCGUGCGGGAUGACGGCCUUCGUGGUUGUAAACCGCUUUCAGCAGGGACGAAAUGACGGUACCUGCAGAAGAAGACCCCGGCUAACUACGUGCCAGCAGCCGCGGUAAU
RNAcentral lists this ribosomal RNA (484 nucleotides) under uncultured bacterium. RNAcentral describes it as "bacterial SSU rRNA". It matches the Rfam family "Bacterial small subunit ribosomal RNA", at positions 28 to 524 of the family's 1533-position model. The record is from RNAcentral.